AGAGGAGGGUCAUGAAAAUGAUCAAAGGGUUUGGAGCACCUCUCCUAUGUGGAAGUUUGGCACAGCACAGUGUACAACCCUUUAAAUAUGCCAGCCCCAAGAAGAGAGGACUUCCUGGGCCAACAGUAAAACUGAGUAGCACAAAAUUAUCAUCUGAGUCUGUCUCUGCUUCACCUGGUACAGAGAUGUCACAGGCAAGAAGGCACAAAACACAGCUGCAGCAACAGGGACAUUGCACAUGACAUUCCUUAGUGUGCAACUAUGAGAUUCUGCUGGAUUGGUAUCUGUAAUCGAAGGAUUAACCACUACUCAGAGAACUAAGUCUCAUCAAGCUUCACAGAGCCAGUCCGCUCUCACAUAUGCUCUGAAUGCCGCAAAGGAUUCAUUUACAGUUUCUUCUUCAGCAUCCACCUCUGGCAAAACUCUUCUCCCUAAUGCCUCAGAACAUCUUUUUACAUGUUUUUGCAGUGUGCACAGGCUGCAGUGCAAUUUAUCGGAACUUUAAGCAAGUUAGCUUAGAGGCACCUUCUUAGCAGGGGAAAUGAAUUCCUCCAGACUUUCAAGUGGCAUCAGUAGGAAGUUUUCAGUACUACAUUGUUUGCUUCUAACUUACCUAUGGGAAGCAAAUGAAUAUACAAGGUUUAAGACAUACCUAAACUGAAAAUUUUGGAAAGCUGUAAAAGAGUUCAGGGAAAAGUGCGCUACAUACUUAACAUGCUCUUUUGCCCUUCUCAUGGCACCCACUGAUUCUUUUUAGGGACACUUAAAAGAAAAGAUACUGGGCCAGAUGGGCCAGGAUGGUCACUUUUCUGUUGGGUGAAGUGUUGAUCUGUUCUUCAUCACAGUAAGGAUGAACCCUUUCCUUCUGCUAUACAGGCCCCCCCUUGUCAGAGGUCAUACCCUGAGCCAAAGUAGAGCUGAGAAUAGAUACAAAAUCUUUGAACUUCAGUUCUGUACCUAAUGACAGACUUCUUUUACAGAAAUAUCUCACAUUUGAGAUGUGGAAGAAGUUUUCUAUUGUAUUUGUCACACAAAACAUACCUGCCCAUUCAGUUUCCGUUAUUUUUUGAAGAUAAAAUUAUUACUACCUUCAAGUGUAGCUUUGUAAAUUUGUCCCAUUUGUUAACUAUAUGAGAAUCCGCAAGGGAUGACAGAAACAUUAAUAAAUGGUAGGAAUAUUU
Gallus gallus (chicken) is the source of this 1181-nucleotide long non-coding RNA. The record is from Ensembl. Lineage: Eukaryota; Metazoa; Chordata; Aves; Galliformes; Phasianidae.